UUAAGACGGGUAGCCGGACUGAGAGGUUGAACGGUCACACUGGAACUGAGACACGGUCCAGACUCCUACGGGAGGCAGCAGUGGGGAAUUUUGCGCAAUGGGGGAAACCCUGACGCAGCGACGCCGCGUGGAGGAUGAAGGUCUUCGGAUUGUAAACUCCUUUUGUCGGGGGAGAUAAUGACGGUACCCGGCGAAUAAGCCACGGCUAACUCUGUGCCAGCAGCCGCGGUAAGACAGAGGUGGCAAGCGUUGUUCGGAAUUACUGGGCUUAAAGGGCGCGUAGGCGGUGGAGUAAGUCUGAGGUGGAAGAUUAGGGCUUAACCCUAAAAUUGCCUUGGAAACUGCAUCACUUGAGUCAGCGAGGGGAUGGCGGAAUUCCAGGUGUAGCGGUGAAAUGCGUAGAUAUCUGGAGGAAGGCCGGUGGCGAAGGCGGCCAUCUGGCGCUGAACUGACGCUGAGGCGCGAAAGCGUGGGGAGCAAACAGGAUUAGAUACCCUGGUAGUCC
RNAcentral lists this ribosomal RNA (505 nucleotides) under uncultured bacterium. RNAcentral describes it as "bacterial SSU rRNA". It matches the Rfam family "Bacterial small subunit ribosomal RNA", at positions 274 to 796 of the family's 1533-position model. The record is from RNAcentral.